This 30-nucleotide non-coding RNA is filed under the name Rattus norvegicus (Norway rat). The record is from RNAcentral. Lineage: Eukaryota; Metazoa; Chordata; Mammalia; Rodentia; Muridae.
UGACAAGUAAACAAAGGUCAAUGCUGGAAC